GGUUAAGCGACUAAGCGUACACGGUGGAUGCCCUGGCAGUCAGAGGCGAUGAAGGACGUGCUAAUCUGCGAUAAGCGUCGGUAAGGUGAUAUGAACCGUUAUAACCGGCGAUUUCCGAAUGGGGAAACCCAGUGUGAUUCGUCACACUAUCAUUAACUGAAUCCAUAGGUUAAUGAGGCGAACCGGGGGAACUGAAACAUCUAAGUACCCCGAGGAAAAGAAAUCAACCGAGAUUCCCCCAGUAGCGGCGAGCGAACGGGGAGCAGCCCAGAGCCUGAAUCAGUGUGUGUGUUAGUGGAAGCGUCUGGAAAGGCGCGCGAUACAGGGUGACAGCCCCGUACACAAAAAUGCACAUGCUGUGAGCUCGAUGAGUAGGGCGGGACACGUGGUAUCCUGUCUGAAUAUGGGGGGACCAUCCUCCAAGGCUAAAUACUCCUGACUGACCGAUAGUGAACCAGUACCGUGAGGGAAAGGCGAAAAGAACCCCGGCGAGGGGAGUGAAAAAGAACCUGAAACCGUGUACGUACAAGCAGUGGGAGCACGCUUAGGCGUGUGACUGCGUACCUUUUGUAUAAUGGGUCAGCGACUUAUAUUCUGUAGCAAGGUUAACCGAAUAGGGGAGCCGAAGGGAAACCGAGUCUUAACUGGGCGUUAAGUUGCAGGGUAUAGACCCGAAACCCGGUGAUCUAGCCAUGGGCAGGUUGAAGGUUGGGUAACACUAACUGGAGGACCGAACCGACUAAUGUUGAAAAAUUAGCGGAUGACUUGUGGCUGGGGGUGAAAGGCCAAUCAAACCGGGAGAUAGCUGGUUCUCCCCGAAAGCUAUUUAGGUAGCGCCUCGUGAAUUCAUCUCCGGGGGUAGAGCACUGUUUCGGCAAGGGGGUCAUCCCGACUUACCAACCCGAUGCAAACUGCGAAUACCGGAGAAUGUUAUCACGGGAGACACACGGCGGGUGCUAACGUCCGUCGUGAAGAGGGAAACAACCCAGACCGCCAGCUAAGGUCCCAAAGUCAUGGUUAAGUGGGAAACGAUGUGGGAAGGCCCAGACAGCCAGGAUGUUGGCUUAGAAGCAGCCAUCAUUUAAAGAAAGCGUAAUAGCUCACUGGUCGAGUCGGCCUGCGCGGAAGAUGUAACGGGGCUAAACCAUGCACCGAAGCUGCGGCAGCGACGCUUAUGCGUUGUUGGGUAGGGGAGCGUUCUGUAAGCCUGUGAAGGUGUGCUGUGAGGCAUGCUGGAGGUAUCAGAAGUGCGAAUGCUGACAUAAGUAACGAUAAAGCGGGUGAAAAGCCCGCUCGCCGGAAGACCAAGGGUUCCUGUCCAACGUUAAUCGGGGCAGGGUGAGUCGACCCCUAAGGCGAGGCCGAAAGGCGUAGUCGAUGGGAAACAGGUUAAUAUUCCUGUACUUGGUGUUACUGCGAAGGGGGGACGGAGAAGGCUAUGUUGGCCGGGCGACGGUUGUCCCGGUUUAAGCGUGUAGGCUGGUUUUCCAGGCAAAUCCGGAAAAUCAAGGCUGAGGCGUGAUGACGAGGCACUACGGUGCUGAAGCAACAAAUGCCCUGCUUCCAGGAAAAGCCUCUAAGCAUCAGGUAACAUCAAAUCGUACCCCAAACCGACACAGGUGGUCAGGUAGAGAAUACCAAGGCGCUUGAGAGAAUUCGGGUGAAGGAACUAGGCAAAAUGGUGCCGUAACUUCGGGAGAAGGCACGCUGAUAUGUAGGUGAAGUCCCUCGCGGAUGGAGCUGAAAUCAGUCGAAGAUACCAGCUGGCUGCAACUGUUUAUUAAAAACACAGCACUGUGCAAACACGAAAGUGGACGUAUACGGUGUGACGCCUGCCCGGUGCCGGAAGGUUAAUUGAUGGGGUCAGCGCAAGCGAAGCUCUUGAUCGAAGCCCCGGUAAACGGCGGCCGUAACUAUAACGGUCCUAAGGUAGCGAAAUUCCUUGUCGGGUAAGUUCCGACCUGCACGAAUGGCGUAAUGAUGGCCAGGCUGUCUCCACCCGAGACUCAGUGAAAUUGAACUCGCUGUGAAGAUGCAGUGUACCCGCGGCAAGACGGAAAGACCCCGUGAACCUUUACUAUAGCUUGACACUGAACAUUGAGCCUUGAUGUGUAGGAUAGGUGGGAGGCUUAGAAGUGUGGACGCCAGUCUGCAUGGAGCCGACCUUGAAAUACCACCCUUUAAUGUUUGAUGUUCUAACGUUGACCCGUAAUCCGGGUUGCGGACAGUGUCUGGUGGGUAGUUUGACUGGGGCGGUCUCCUCCUAAAGAGUAACGGAGGAGCACGAAGGUUGGCUAAUCCUGGUCGGACAUCAGGAGGUUAGUGCAAUGGCAUAAGCCAGCUUGACUGCGAGCGUGACGGCGCGAGCAGGUGCGAAAGCAGGUCAUAGUGAUCCGGUGGUUCUGAAUGGAAGGGCCAUCGCUCAACGGAUAAAAGGUACUCCGGGGAUAACAGGCUGAUACCGCCCAAGAGUUCAUAUCGACGGCGGUGUUUGGCACCUCGAUGUCGGCUCAUCACAUCCUGGGGCUGAAGUAGGUCCCAAGGGUAUGGCUGUUCGCCAUUUAAAGUGGUACGCGAGCUGGGUUUAGAACGUCGUGAGACAGUUCGGUCCCUAUCUGCCGUGGGCGCUGGAGAACUGAGGGGGGCUGCUCCUAGUACGAGAGGACCGGAGUGGACGCAUCACUGGUGUUCGGGUUGUCAUGCCAAUGGCACUGCCCGGUAGCUAAAUGCGGAAGAGAUAAGUGCUGAAAGCAUCUAAGCACGAAACUUGCCCCGAGAUGAGUUCUCCCUGACUCCUUGAGAGUCCUGAAGGAACGUUGAAGACGACGACGUUGAUAGGCCGGGUGUGUAAGCGCAGCGAUGCGUUGAGCUAACCGGUACUAAUGAACCGUGAGGCUUAACCUU
RNAcentral lists this ribosomal RNA (2904 nucleotides) under Escherichia coli. RNAcentral's name for it is "23S ribosomal RNA". It matches the Rfam family "Bacterial large subunit ribosomal RNA". The record is from RNAcentral. Lineage: Bacteria; Pseudomonadati; Pseudomonadota; Gammaproteobacteria; Enterobacterales; Enterobacteriaceae.